This 305-nucleotide ribosomal RNA is filed under the name uncultured bacterium. Its description in RNAcentral is "bacterial SSU rRNA". It matches the Rfam family "Bacterial small subunit ribosomal RNA", at positions 335 to 632 of the family's 1533-position model. The record is from RNAcentral.
GCUCCUACGGGGCGCAGCAGUAGGGAAUCUUCCACAAUGGGCGAAAGCCUGAUGGAGCAACGCCGCGUGGGUGAAGAAGGUCUUCGGAUCGUAAAACCCUGUUGUUAGAGAAGAAAGUGCGUGAGAGUAACUGUUCACGUUUCGACGGUAUCUAACCAGAAAGCCACGGCUAACUACGUGCCAGCAGCCGCGGUAAUACGUAGGUGGCAAGCGUUAUCCGGAUUUAUUGGGUUUAAAGGGUGCGUAGGCGGAUUUUUAAGUCUGAUGUGAAAGCCUUCGGCUUAACCGGAGUAGUGCAUUGGAAA